AACGAACGCUGGCGGCAGGCCUAACACAUGCAAGUCGAACGCCGUAGCAAUACGGAGUGGCAGACGGGUGAGUAACGCGUGGGAACAUGCCCUUUGGUUCGGAAUAACUCAGGGAAACUUGAGCUAAUACCGGAUAAGCCCGUGAGGGGAAAGAUUUAUCGCCGAAGGAUUGGCCCGCGUCCGAUUAGCUAGUUGGUGAGGUGAUGGCUCACCAAGGCGACGAUCGGUAGCUGGUCUGAGAGGAUGAUCAGCCACACUGGGACUGAGACACGGCCCAGACUCCUACGGGAGGCAGCAGUGGGGAAUAUUGGACAAUGGGCGCAAGCCUGAUCCAGCCAUGCCGCGUGAGUGAUGAAGGCCCUAGGGUUGUAAAGCUCUUUCGCCAGGGACGAUAAUGACGGUACCUGGAUAAGAAGCCCCGGCUAACUUCGUGCCAGCAGCCGCCGUAA
This 449-nucleotide ribosomal RNA is filed under the name uncultured bacterium. Its description in RNAcentral is "partial 16S ribosomal RNA". It matches the Rfam family "Bacterial small subunit ribosomal RNA", at positions 29 to 523 of the family's 1533-position model. The record is from RNAcentral.